RNAcentral lists this ribosomal RNA (454 nucleotides) under uncultured Porphyromonas sp. RNAcentral's name for it is "partial 16S ribosomal RNA". It matches the Rfam family "Bacterial small subunit ribosomal RNA", at positions 341 to 792 of the family's 1533-position model. Lineage: Bacteria; Pseudomonadati; Bacteroidota; Bacteroidia; Bacteroidales; Porphyromonadaceae. The record is from RNAcentral.
ACGGGAGGCAGCAGUGAGGAAUAUUGGUCAAUGGGCGGAAGCCUGAACCAGCCAUCUCGCGUGAAGGAAUACGGCCCUACGGGUCUUAAACUUCUUUUAUAGGGGGAUAAAGUGAGCCACGAGUGGCUUUUUGUAGGUACCCUAUGAAUAAGCAUCGGCUAACUCCGUGCCAGCAGCCGCGGUAAUACGGAGGAUGCGAGCGUUAUCCGGAUUUAUUGGGUUUAAAGGGUGCGCAGGCGGCACGUUAAGUCAGCGGUGAAAUGUCGGGGCUCAACCCGGGCACUGCCGUCGAAACUGGCGAGCUCGAGUACGGAUGAAGUCGGCGGAAUGUGAUGUGUAGCGGUGAAAUGCUUAGAUAUGUCACAGAACACCGAUUGCGAAGGCAGCUGACUAAGCCGCAACUGACGCUCAUGCACGAAAGCGUGGGGAUCGAACAGGAUUAGAUACCCUGGUA